This 253-nucleotide ribosomal RNA is filed under the name uncultured prokaryote. RNAcentral describes it as "partial 16S ribosomal RNA". It matches the Rfam family "Bacterial small subunit ribosomal RNA", at positions 525 to 777 of the family's 1533-position model. The record is from RNAcentral.
ACGGAGGGGGCUAGCGUUGUUCGGAAUUACUGGGCGCAAAGCGCACGUAGGCGGCUUUGUAAGUUAGAGGUGAAAGCCCAGGGCUUAACCCUGGAAUUGCCUUUAAGACUGCAUCGCUAGGAUUGUGGAGAGGUAAGUGGAAUUCCGAGUGUAGAGGUGAAAUUCGUAGAUAUUCGGAAGAACACCAGUGGCGAAGGCGGCUCACUGGACGACUGUUGACGCUGAGGUGCGAAAGCGUGGGGAGCAAACAGGA